AUCUCUCUUUGUAUUUGGUUGAAAAAUUAGUGAUUUGCUUGGUAUUUAAGCUUAAAAUUGAAGAAUUGUUUGAGGAGUUGUGGCUUGAUCAUUGCAUUGAAGCUUGAGGAAAGGGUAAAUCUAUCUCUGAUCAGCCAUGAGUAUGGGAGUUGGGCGAUGUAUGUACAUGUUCGGGCCACACUAGACCAAGCGGGUUGGGGUCUACCAGCGUUGAAACUUUUGUAACUCUAUUUUUCCGCUUAGGUCGGCUAAGGAGAAAAGACUUGUAAUAUUUUGUAAAAUGAUUUUUGGGAUCCCGAAACAUGUAACUUUUGUUUGUAAGGUUAAAAUUAUUACAA
Cannabis sativa is the source of this 338-nucleotide long non-coding RNA. RefSeq lists it as uncharacterized. NCBI's taxonomy places the organism in Eukaryota, Viridiplantae, Streptophyta, Magnoliopsida, Rosales, Cannabaceae. The transcript is spliced from 2 exons. The record is from RefSeq and is a predicted model, not a curated record.